GAAGGGCCCCAGUGCCUCCCCGGAGAGUCCCCUGGUGAGGGAGCGGCCAGGCAGCCCAGCCCUGCUUCUCUUGGGGGCCCCCUCUGAGCCCUCCUCGGGGUCUCUGAUGCCACGGAGACCUGAAAAUCAAACGCACGGAUACGCAAGACUGGCAAGUUUCACUGGACCCCGGGGCCCUGCUCCAGGCUGGGGUGCUCAGAGCCCCUGCUUUCCCCACGGAAGCCCCUCCUCCAUCUUGCCCCAGAGGCUGGGCAGCAGUGCCCGUCUCAGCGUGGCGGCCGCACGCUCCGCACAUCUCAGAGGAAAGUGCGUGAGGAACGGCCACGGGAAGGGAGGGAGAGCUGUCAGCUUUCGUGGGGAGAAGCCACGAGGCCCCGAAUGAUAGGGUGCAUCUCUCACUGGCCGUAAACGCUGGAGAAGAAUCAAGGAGCCGUGGUGUGUUCUGUGUUGCCUCCAGCACAACCAGAGCUGCCUGGUGCCGGGGACUGGACGCCUGGGCUUGGGCACUGGGCACCCACUGGGCAGCUUGGCUCCAUCCUUGCUGUCACUGCAGACCUAACCUGCCUGGGAUGGGUUUUUUUUCCUUUUCUUUUUCCCAGCUGGACCAGUCCCCAGAAGGGAUGAUAUGGAGGUCCUCCAGUAAUCCCUCCUGUCUGGCCGUAAGGAUGUAUCCCUGUCGGCAGCAAGGGGACAAGAUAAUAAAGAGGGAAAGUAAAUUUAGAGAAAGUUCCUAUGCCUAUUCCAGGAGCUGGGCUGGGCUUCCUCCUCCUGGUGGGGGGUGGGCAGGGGUGGGCCCGUGGUGCGAGACGCAGGGGUCCUACCACCCAGUGGAGGUGGUCACUCUGCUGGCGCAGGGCUGGGCACCCACACCCCGCCCAGGAGCCCCACAGCACGAGGGCAGCGGAGACGCCUGCCCUGGGGAGGGACACGUGAGAAGUCCCUGGAGCCGGGGAGGUGUGGGCAGGGCAGGGCCGCGUGCACGGUUCUGGGAGAGGCGGGUUGGGGGUCUUUGGGGGGCCUAGGAGAGGCGUGCCGCAGGGGAAGGCGUGCCGCAGGGGAAGGCGUGCGCAGGGGCACAGAGCGUGGGGGUGGCUGGCACGUGGAGGGACGGCACUGAGGUUGCGGGGUGGGGUGCACAGGGCACGGGCCACAGAGGAAAGGAGGAGCCUGGGGGAGGUGGGCUGGGGUCUGGCCGCCUGGUGGGGGGCGUGGCCCCGAGAUGCCUCCGCUGGGGGGAGGUAGGCCGGCGUGAGUGUAGGCAGACCGCACA
This 1270-nucleotide long non-coding RNA is filed under the name Bos grunniens (domestic yak). RNAcentral describes it as "lncRNA (ENSBGRG00000016392.1)". Lineage: Eukaryota; Metazoa; Chordata; Mammalia; Artiodactyla; Bovidae. The record is from RNAcentral.